RNAcentral lists this ribosomal RNA (439 nucleotides) under uncultured bacterium. RNAcentral's name for it is "bacterial SSU rRNA". It matches the Rfam family "Bacterial small subunit ribosomal RNA", at positions 954 to 1392 of the family's 1533-position model. The record is from RNAcentral.
AUGGGAACGCGAAGAACCUUACCUACUCUUGACAUCCAGAGAACUUAGCAGAGAUGCUUUGGUGCCUUCGGGAACUCUGAGACAGGUGCUGCAUGGCUGUCGUCAGCUCGUGUUGUGAAAUGUUGGGUUAAGUCCCGCAACGAGCGCAACCCUUAUCCUUUGUUGCCAGCGGUUGGGCCGGGAACUCAAAGGAGACUGCCAGUGAUAAACUGGAGGAAGGUGGGGAUGACGUCAAGUCAUCAUGGCCCUUACGAGUAGGGCUACACACGUGCUACAAUGGCGCAUACAAAGAGAAGCGACCUCGCGAGAGCAAGCGGACCUCAUAAAGUGCGUCGUAGUCCGGAUUGGAGUCUGCAACUCGACUCCAUGAAGUCGGAAUCGCUAGUAAUCGUAGAUCAGAAUGCUACGGUGAAUACGUUCCCGGGUCUUGUACACACCG